AAAGUCGUAACAAGGUUUCCGUAGGUGAACCUGCGGAAGGAUCAUUAGAAUGAGAGCCGGACCAUGUCGUGGGCGAAAGGCUCGCACGUGCCAGAUCGGCACCCAUUAAACCUGCACCCCUUUGCCCGAAAUGAUUUCUUUCAUCAUUGGUCCCCCUUUGGCAGGCCGCGACCCUCUGGGGGAGCGCUGGCUUCGGCUGGAGAGUGCCUGCCAGGAGGACCAAACUCUGUAAUUUAAUGCCGUCUGAGUACUACGAAAAAUAGUUAAAA
Molecule: unclassified non-coding RNA, 269 nt
Filed under: plant metagenome
Description: partial contains small subunit ribosomal RNA and internal transcribed spacer 1
Rfam family: Eukaryotic small subunit ribosomal RNA (bases 1-47)
Source: RNAcentral